This 778-nucleotide long non-coding RNA is filed under the name Mustela putorius furo (domestic ferret). RNAcentral describes it as "lncRNA (ENSMPUG00000025685.1)". The record is from RNAcentral. Lineage: Eukaryota; Metazoa; Chordata; Mammalia; Carnivora; Mustelidae.
CUCAGCUAGAAAGAAGAGUAAACGAGUGAAAAUCAGCUCAGAGUGAGAAAGAAAAAAGCAGCUUUGCUAUUAAUUGGGCUGAGGUGACGGGCACAGAUAAAAACAAACGUGAAAUUAACAGGAAAUACUGUUUCUCCCAAAGUCAUACAGCAGCUGUAAAAUACCAAAAAGAGACCAUCUUCUCGUUACUACUGCUUUCUUGCCAAUGACCCUAGACCCACUUUACCAUUUACAUCUAUUACUAUUUUCAUCUGUUACAUCUAAUUCAUCUAUUACUUCCAACUGCUAAGAUGCCCCUGCUAUUACAUACAUAGGGGUGCACCCAUGUCCCCAUCCUUCACAUACUCCAGCUUCACUCCUGCCUUGAAUCCACCUGUGCGUCCCGCCUCUCCACCGUCGUUUGAAAUCCACUAAAUCCCGCCCCGCUGCUAUGCACGCUCCCCAUAGGACCCAGACGCAGCUCUCACAGUCCCCAUUGGUCCUAUCCUCACUUGAACACCAAUCUAGAAUCCUCCACCAUCCAUCCAAUUCUAUAGAGCACGGCCCUUCUCUUCUCAUUGGCCAGUUUGGUUCCACUCAGGUUCGCCCCAUCCACGGAGGGGUGGUAAAGGCAGUGCUCCGGGGUACUGGAGCAGCGGGAGUCUCAGGUAUGAGUCUAUUCUCGGGACUAGGAAGGUUACAACUUGGGCGAUCUUUCUACGUGCAGAGCGAGGCAUUCCAAGCGAUCUAUAAGGACCUGGUGUCUGCCAUGUCUUGUGCCCCUCCUGGAUUCCGCUAG